UUCUGCAUCCAAAAGUGAUCACAGGCUGCCUGUGCUCUGGUCAUUGAUAGUGCAGAGAGAGGAAGCCUCGUGUUUGUAGCGUCCACCUCGUCCUUCCCUGGAGCUUUCACACA
Molecule: small nucleolar RNA, 113 nt
Organism: Choloepus didactylus (southern two-toed sloth)
Lineage: Eukaryota; Metazoa; Chordata; Mammalia; Pilosa; Megalonychidae
Product: small nucleolar RNA SNORA71
Exons: 1
Source: RefSeq, a predicted model, not a curated record